CGGCGGAGCAUAGCGGAUUAAUUCGAUGCAACGCGAAGAACUUACCAAGGCUUGACAUACACCGGUAACGCCCAGAGAUGGUGCCCCUUGUGGUCGGUGUACAGGUGGUGCAUGGUUGUCGUCAGCUCGUGUCGUGAGAUGUUGGGUUAAGUCCCGCAACGAGCGCAACCCUCGUCCUAUGUUGCCAGCGGGUCAUGCCGGGGACUCAUGGGAGACUGCCGGGGUCAACUCGGAGGAAGGUGGGAUGACGUCAAAUCAUCAUGCCCCUUAUGUCUUGGGCUUCACGCAUGCUACAAUGGCCGGUACAAAGGGCUGCGAUACCGCGAGGUGGAGCGAAUCCCAGAAAGCCGGUCUCAGUUCGGAUUGGGGUCUGCAACUCGACCCCAUGAAGUCGGAGUCGCUAGUAAUCGCAGAUCAGCAACGCUGCGGUGAAUACGUUCCCGGGCCUU
This 449-nucleotide ribosomal RNA is filed under the name uncultured Cellulomonas sp. RNAcentral describes it as "bacterial SSU rRNA". It matches the Rfam family "Bacterial small subunit ribosomal RNA", at positions 930 to 1382 of the family's 1533-position model. Lineage: Bacteria; Bacillati; Actinomycetota; Actinomycetes; Micrococcales; Cellulomonadaceae. The record is from RNAcentral.